GACGAACGCUGGCGGCGUGCUUAACACAUGCAAGUCGAACGGUGAAGCGCCUUCCUUUUUGGUGGGUGUGGAUGAGUGGCGAACGGGUGAGUAACACGUGAGUAACCUGCCCCCUUCUUCUGGAUAACCGCAUGAAAGUGUGGCUAAUACGGGAUAUUCUGGGUCUGUCGCAUGAUGGGUCUGGGAAAGAUAUUGUUUCGGUGGGGGAUGGGCUCGCGGCCUAUCAGCUUGUUGGUGGGGGGAUGGCCUACCAAGGCGGUGGCGGGUGGCCGGCCUGAGAGGGUGGACGGUCACACUGGGACUGAGACACGGCCCCGCCUCCUACGGGAGGCAGCAGUGGGGAAUAUUGCACAAUGGGCGCAAGCCUGAUGCAGCGACGCCGCGUGAGGGAUGGAGGCCUUCGGGUUGUGAACCUCUUUCGCCAGUGAAGCAGGCCUGCCUCGUUUGUGGGUGGGUUGACGGUAGCUGGAGAAGAAGCGCCGGCUAACUACGUG
Molecule: ribosomal RNA, 494 nt
Filed under: uncultured bacterium
Lineage: Bacteria
Description: partial 16S ribosomal RNA
Rfam family: Bacterial small subunit ribosomal RNA
Source: RNAcentral